CUACAACUGGGGACGCUCGCAGCUCUCGGCGCUGGGCCCAGCUUCCUUCAAAAUGUCUACUGUUCACGAAAUUCUCUGCAAGCUCAGCUUGGAGGGUGAUCACUCCACGCCCCCAAGUGCAUACGGGUCGGUCAAAGCAUACACCAAUUUUGAUGCUGAGCGUGAUGCUCUGAAUAUUGAAACGGCCAUCAAGACCAAAGGUGUGGAUGAGGUCACCAUUGUCAACAUUUUGACCAACCGCAGCAAUGAACAGAGACAGGAUAUUGCCUUCGCCUACCAGAGAAGGACCAAAAAGGAACUUGUAUCAGCACUCAAGUCAGCCUUGUCCGGCCACCUGGAGACCGUGAUUUUGGGCCUUUUGAAAACACCUGCUCAGUAUGAUGCUUCUGACCUGAAAGCCUCCAUGAAGGGGCUGGGGACUGACGAGGACUCCCUCAUUGAGAUCAUCUGCUCAAGGACCAACCAAGAGCUUCAGGAAAUUAACAAAGUCUACAAAGAAAUGUACAAGACUGAUCUGGAGAAGGACAUCGUUUCUGACACAUCUGGUGACUUCCGCAAGCUGAUGGUUGCCCUUGCAAAGGGUAGAAGAGCAGAGGAUGGCUCUGUCAUUGAUUAUGAACUGAUUGACCAAGAUGCCCGGGAUCUCUAUGAUGCUGGAGUGAAGAGGAGAGGAACUGAUAUGCCCAAGUGGAUCAGCAUCAUGACUGAGUGGAGUGUGCGUCACCUCCAGAAAGUAUUUGAAAGGUACAAGAGCUACAGCCCUUAUGACACGCUGGAGAGCAUCAAGAAGGAGGUCAAAGGAGACCUGGAAAAUGCUUUCCUGAACCUGGUCCAGUGCAUUCAGAACAAGCCCCUGUAUUUUGCUGACCGGCUGUACGACUCCAUGAAGGGCAAGGGGACUCGUGAUAAAGUCCUGAUUAGAAUCAUGGUCUCUCGCAGUGAAGUGGACAUGUUGAAAAUUAGGUCUGAAUUCAAGAGGAAGUACAGCAAGUCCCUGUACUACUACAUCCAGCAAGACACGAAGGGUGACUACCAGAAAGCGCUGCUGGUACCUGUGUGGUGGGGAUGACUGAGGCCCACGAUGGAUGAGCACCCAGCAGUGGUGCUCCUUUGUUUCCAGCUAACAGUUCUAGAAAAUAGCUUGUGACUAACAGACCCCUUGUGCCUGUCCCUGUGAGGAUAGCGUUG
Leptonychotes weddellii (Weddell seal) is the source of this 1188-nucleotide non-coding RNA. Lineage: Eukaryota; Metazoa; Chordata; Mammalia; Carnivora; Phocidae. The record is from RefSeq and is a predicted model, not a curated record.